This 69-nucleotide transfer RNA is filed under the name Podarcis lilfordi (Lilford's wall lizard). RNAcentral describes it as "tRNA.Arg". It matches the Rfam family "tRNA". Rfam says of the family: Transfer RNA (tRNA) molecules are approximately 80 nucleotides in length. Their secondary structure includes four short double-helical elements and three loops (D, anti-codon, and T loops). The record is from RNAcentral. Lineage: Eukaryota; Metazoa; Chordata; Lepidosauria; Squamata; Lacertidae.
GCAUAGUUCAGUUGGUAGAGCAUGAGACUCCUAAUCUCAGGGUCUUGGGUUCAAGCCCCAUGUUGGGCA